This 1215-nucleotide ribosomal RNA is filed under the name uncultured Alphaproteobacteria bacterium. RNAcentral describes it as "partial 16S ribosomal RNA". It matches the Rfam family "Bacterial small subunit ribosomal RNA", at positions 62 to 1348 of the family's 1533-position model. The record is from RNAcentral. Lineage: Bacteria; Pseudomonadati; Pseudomonadota; Alphaproteobacteria.
UCGAACGCAGUAGCAAUACUGAGUGGCGAACGGGUGAGUAUAAUGUGGGUAUCUGCCUUUUGGUGAGGAAUAACACGAGGAAACUUGUGCUAAUACCUCAUAAGCCUUUACAGGGAAAGUUUUAACGCCAAAAGAUGAGCCCACACUUGAUUAGCUAGUUGGUGAGGUAAGAGCUCACCAAGGCAACGAUCAAUAGCUGUUCUUAGAGGAAGACCAGCCACAUUGGGACUGAGACACGGCCCAAACUCCUACGGGAGGCAGCAGUGGGGAAUCUUGCACAAUGGGGGAAACCCUGAUGCAGCGAUGCCGCGUGAGUGAAGAAGGCCUUUGGGUUGUAAAGCUCUUUCGUCGGGGAAGAAAAUGACUGUACCCGAAUAAGAAGGUCCGGCUAACUUCGUGCCAGCAGCCGCGGUAAUACGAAGGGACCUAGCGUAGUUCGGAAUUACUGGGCUUAAAGAGCUCGUAGGUGGUUAAAAAAGUUGGUGGUGAAAUCCCAAGGCUUAACCUUGGAACUGCCACCAAAACUUUUUGACUAGAGUAUGAUAGAGGUAAGCGGAAUUUCUAGUGUAGAGGUGAAAUUCGUAGAUAUUAGAAAGAACACCAAUUGCGAAGGCAACUUUCUGGAUCAUUACUGACACUGAGGAGCGAAAGCAUGGGUAGCGAAGAGGAUUAGAUACCCUCGUAGUCCAUGCUGUAAACGAUGUGUGCUAGACGUUGGAAAUUUAUUUUUCAGUGUCGCAGCAAAAGCAUUAAGCACACCGCCUGGGGAGUACGACCGCAAGGUUAAAACUCAAAUGAAUUGACGGGGACCCGCACAAGCAGUGGAGCAUGUGGUUUAAUUCGAAGAUACGCGCAGAACCUUACCAACACUUGACAUGUUCGUCGCGAACCUAAGAGAUUAGGUUCUUCAUUCAGUUGGACGAAACACAGUGCUGCAUGACUGUCGUCAGCUCGUGUCGUGAGAUGUGGUAGUCCCGCACGAGCGCACCCUUACUUUAGUGCAUCAUUUAGUGAGCACUCUAAAAGACUGCAGUGAUAGCUGGAGAGGCGGGGAUGACGUCAGUCUCAUGGGCCUUACUUGUUGGGCUACCACUGCUACAAUGGGAGUUUACAUGAGAACCAAAGGGGCACCUCCAAGCUUAUCUUUUAAAAUGUCUAGCUUCGAAUGAAGCUUCAACUCAAUAAAUGAAGCUUGAAAAUUCCAGUAAAAAAACG